AAUGGUUAAAAUGGUGAGUUUUAUAUUAUGUAUAUUUGACCAAAAUAACAGAUAGGUAGAUACAUAGAUGAUAGAUACAUCAUACAUGAUAGAUAGUUCAUAGCUGGGUGAUGAUGAUACACAAAUACAUAGAUAAAUGAUAGGUGAGACAGAUAGAUGAUAGGUGAUAGAUGAUAGAUGACAGAUGGCUAGAUGAUAGGUAGAUACAUAGAUGGUAGAUAGAUAGAUAAUAGGUAGAUUAUACACAGAUGAUAGAUAGAUGGGUAGAUAGAUGCUACAUAGGUAGAUAGAUAGCCUCCAAGACAAUGGGAGAAUAAAUGUCUGUUGUUUAAGCCCUGCAGUCUAUGGUGUUCUGUUAUAGCAGCUUGAAAUGGACUAAGACACCUCAUAAGAAGAGAUGAGGACACAGACACACACAGAGAGACGACUGUAUGAGGACAAAGGGAGAACACAGAGUCUACAAGCCAAGGAGAGAGGCCUCAGGAGGAACCAGCCCUGCCCACACCUUGAUCUCAGACUUCCGACCUCCAGGAUUGUAAGGAAAUAAAUUUCUGUUGUUUAAGCCCCUCAGUCUACAGUCCUUUGUUAUGGCAGCUCUAGCAAAGGCAUAUACCUUCUCCAUCCCCUCUCCUCUGAUAAAUACCAAUAUCUCAAGAGAACUUGGAGGCAGCUGUUGAAGAGAGCUGAGCCACAAUGUUGAAAGUUAUUGGGUCCCUGAUUCAGGACUUGAAAGAGCAUCACCAGCCAACCAGAAACACACACUUUGGGCUUAACACCAGGUAUUUGUUAGAAAAAAAAAUACGGGCUGGGUGCGGUGGCUCACGCCUGUAAUCCCAGCACUUUGGGAGGCUGAGGCGGGCGGAUCAUGAGGUCAGGAGAUUGAGACCAUCCUGGCUAACAUGGUGAAACCUCGUCUCUACUAAAAAUACAAAAAAAUUAGCUGGGCAUGGUGGCGGGCGCCUGUAGUCCCAGCUACUCGGGAGGCUGAGGCAGGAGAAUGGCGUGAACCUGGGAGGCGGAGCUUGCAGUGAGCUGAGAUCACCCCACUGCACUCCAGCCUGGGCGACAGAGUGAGACUCUGUCUCAAAAAAAAAAACCAAAAAAAAAAAAAAAAACACUGAGAUUUGGUGUUCAUUCAUCAGCUUAAGCAGCUUAUCAUGGCCCUAACUAACAAAGCAUGUUUUACAUAACAGGUACUUUGCCCACAGUCAAGUGUAUCAAGAUCAAAUGAUGAUGUGCUACACCUUUGCUGUAGAUUUCUUAUCAAUACACUCUUUCCUUGUGUCCUCUGAGAGUCUACUUCACUGCAGGGCUGCUGCUACCAGCUGCUGUGGUCAUAGCCUUGGUGUUCUUGUCUAAUUAAUGAGGGUUCCCAUUAAACUAGACUCCAGCUGUUUUGACUUCCAGAAUUGCUUUAGGAGAGUCUCUGUGGUCAUUAAUAAGGUGAGACCUUUUGGUUCCCAAUACAAAGAGAGAAGAUAAUUUAUUUUCUACAGCAUUUUUUCCCAUAAAGCUCUAUAUUCCGUUACAUUUUAAAGGGCAUUUCAACAAAUGAUGUAUGAAAUGGAGAACAAAAUCUGUAUGGUUCUGCAGUAAAGGGCAUGCAAAACUAGAGAACGGCUCUGAAAUGAUGUGGAAAAACAGCAAUCUACUUUUCUUUAAAAAAAUUAAAGGCUUAUGCUUCACAUAAAUUCAUGUCGAUUUUCCAGGCAUUAUUUGGUUAUAACGUCUGAGGCAUUGCAUGGAUUUACUGGUACCUAAAGUGUGGAUUUAUUCUUAAGAAGCAUGCAGCUCUACAAUCUUGUACAGUGAAACGUUGGGCACUCACAAAGUUAUGCAAGACAGGUUAUGAUGUGGGCUUAAGAAAGGUGUUGAGAGCUAGGAGUAGAGAUAUAGAAGAAAAAAAGUGUAAUAUUUUCAAGAAAGAGUAAUUAGUUUGUAAGUGGAGGCUACUUUCAGUGUUUUUUUUUUUUAAUUUUGAUGUUUUAG
RNAcentral lists this long non-coding RNA (1989 nucleotides) under Homo sapiens (human). Its description in RNAcentral is "non-protein coding lnc-ARSF-3:1". The record is from RNAcentral. Lineage: Eukaryota; Metazoa; Chordata; Mammalia; Primates; Hominidae.